UUUUUUCUCUACAACAGAUCAGCAGUAAUCGAGAGAGAUACAGAUCGACCUCAUCUCUCUGAUAGAAAUUAACGAUAGAGAGGUGGGAGAGAGGACUAGCAACCACGGGAUGAUACCCAAUGUGAUUGGUGAUGAUUUGCAAUCUCAAAUCCUCUCUAACUCGGGUACUAUUUUACCUCAACCUUGAACAGAUUGAUUUUUCAUUGAUUUGGAUUGACACUCAUCUGAAACGUCAUCAUCCAACCCAAUAAAUUUCAGGAGUCCAGAUGCCGAUCCAAAAAAUCGAGUACAUAUGCCACCGUUCCCCAAUUCACACAGGUAAUGUCGAACUUGCAUCUUCUAUGCGAUCUCCUCAGCCAUCUAUUUAAAACUUUCUUGAUUUUUUAUUUGUUUGGACUUUUGAGUGAUGAAUUACUGGCCGAUAGUUUCCCUAUUUAAUGAGUUGUUCGGUGUUCGAUGAACGUACAUGUUGCAACCUAUUUAAGAAAUUAGCGAUGACUAAUUUUGACUGAAAUAAUGAAAUAGCUGUUGAUGAGCUGUGCUAAUGAUCCGGUAAUCAGAUCAGUCGACAGAUCAUAGACCCUUAUCUAUGACUUUUCUCUAAAUCUAAAUACAAACUAGCAAAUAUAAUAUUUAUAAUUUUCCAAUUUACUGUAUGUAUGUCCGUAUGCACUACAUAUAGUCUGCAGCUUACCUUUUCUUUUACCAAUGACAUGGUUCAAGCUGUUGACAAUGCGAAGGAAGCAUCCAAAGUCAAGGUCAGGAUAAUCAGACUUUGGGAUGGCCUAAAUCCCAACAGACAUGAUAGUUAUUAAUAAAGGUCGGAAUAAAUAUUCCCCUCGCAAAUAAUAUUGGUAUUUAUGGGUAUUCCCAGAGAGCUCUCACAUUUACUAUAAACGUUAACUAAAAGAUCUGUAGUUCAUUAGGUCGAUCGUAUUACCAUGACUUGAUCAAUCAAGAAUUUGUGUUAAAACCAAUAUUAGUUGCGCACUUCAGGGACGCUCGCACAUUAGGAAGAAAGAUCUUAACACCCACUAGAACGGAUACCCUCAUCUCAAUCAGGCGGUAAGCCCCAUCUCAAUCGGGCACAGCGUCCGUCACAGGCUAGAAGUCACUGAUGUGAAGAGUUAUCUCAAUCGGGCAAACGGCCGUCACGAAUGAAUAUAUCUCAAUCGGGCCCUAAGUAAAGCCCGUCACCGAUAGCUUUGAUCCAGACGACCAGUCAAACUAUAGCCCGUCACAGAUGACCUAUCUCUAUCGGGCCACAACUAGCGCCCGUCACAGAUGACUACUAACCUUUAUUGGGCCUAAACUAGAGCCCGUCACAGAUGAUUCUCAUCUCAAUCGGGCCUAAACUAUAGCCCGUCAAAGAUGACUGAUGACCUCAAUCAGACCUAAACUAGAGCCCGUCACAGAUGACUGCUGACCUCAAUCGGGCCUAAGCUAAAGCCCGUCACAGAUGAUCUCAUCUCAAUCGGGCAUUUAGUUAUGGCUCGUCACAGAUGACUAUAAUCCACAAAAAAAAUAAAAUUUGUUUUUUGGCUAGCCUCAGGCCUUUGCUAGCCAUGCCCGCUGCAAAAAUGACAGAAACAAACACAGAUAUCCAAUAUCCCCAGCUCCCCAGCAUCACCCAUUCAUACAUAUGCAUUCACAUACACAGACAUCAACAUAUUUCACACAACCACACAUUCACAGCCAUAUCAUAUUUCACAUCCAUUCACAUAUUUCACAUCCAUUCAAAUAUUUAUCAUAUUUCACCUGCAAAACCGAGUUAAUUGGAUCAAAUAUUUAUUUAGCAAGUCUUAACAUAAACAUAUGAAAUAUAUACAUAAAUAUAAGCAUCACAGUUACAUCACCACAGUUGCAUAAUAAGUGUUCAUCAUUGCCUAAACAUAGAAGUUCAACAUUGUUCAUCGUUUUAGUUUAAGCCUAAACAUUCCUUUGGGGUUAAUUAUUUCGCGGAGGAUGAAGCUGGCUAUCUCCUCGCGAACCUCCUCAAAGCUGGUAGUCAGAGACUUGGUUAUUGUGCCCUACAUAGUCAUAAUUCCAGAUUAGUUGAUCGAUCAUAUAUAAGUACUAAAAUGUAGUUAGUCUAUCACAAUUGAGACCACCGACCUCAAACUCAGCCAAAGUCUUCACCUUUUCUCUAUACAGAAGUCGCAUGUUGUGGCACACAUGGAAUCCGCACUGGUCACCUAUUUGUUGCUUCACCGGGAAGUCUUUUUUGUGGAUGAGGGUGUCAUGUCCUGUCUUCCUGAGGCCUCCUCUUUGCACGUAUUGGGCCCACGCUUCAUCUAUCGCUAGUUGAAUUGGGGUCCAUUCAUAUGCGUUCUUAUCAAUUCUGGAGUUCAGGUAAUGACAUGUACUCCAUUUAGGUGUUAUGACCAGAAGGAUCCAAUGGGCACUGCGGCAUUAAUAUAGUGAAAGUUAAUUAAGUACUCAAGGAAUGUGUCAUGCUGUUGUGUAUAUUUAGUUAACACACUUACUAUUGAUUAUAGGCACACAUAAUGUACUCCUUGUCUCGGCGGGACCACAAGGUGUCGUAGAUGUAGUUGACCAUUCCUUGACGGUCAUUCUGGAGAUUUGUGACAGUGACCACUUGUGGAUCAAGGAAGGCAACUUCCGGUGCAUGCUUCUGACACCAUUGCCAACUUAACCUACACACAGGAUCAACGAUCUUGUAAGCAAGUUAAACCGAUUGUUAUUAACAGAAUGAGUUGGGCGACAAUACUUACAAGGAGUAGCACUUAAGGAGGCUUGUGUCCACCACUCGGAGCCUGUAGAGGUCGAAAAGAUCGUUGAAGUCGACCACGAUAUAAUUUGUUGGAUCAAGGAAUGGCUUUCCAUCGUGCUGUCCAAGGAUAUCGGUAGCUUUACUUGGCUUCCUGGCGUUAGAUUUCUCCAUGUAGUAUAAGUGAAGGUCCUUGCAAGCGGUGCCCAUUGCGGCAAGCACGUCAUCUCCAACCAAUGGCAUGCCUAGUUGGAACUCCUGUGGAGCGACGUAUUUCUUCUUGACCUCUUUGCCCUUAGUCUCUUCCUGGCCCUUGCCCAGAUCUAGCUUUCUUGGAGCUAGAAGCGAGGCCUGCACCUUUCCUCCCCUUCCUCUCCCCUUUGCUUCGGGUUUAUCGAGAGUAAUUCUCUGAGGGGAGGAGUGUGCCUUCCUGCUCUUCUUCAUCGGUGGGGGUUCAUGAAUCGCCUUGCUGUCGGCCUCCGUUCGGUCCUCCCCAAAAUCCGUGUCAUACUGCAACUGCAAAUCGUAAGAUUGUGCAUGACGAUCUUGAGCAGGAGGGGCUGAAGGAGCAGAGGCGGGUCUCUUUGGUGGACGACCGCCUGGUGCAGUGGUUGGCCUCGCUGUAACCCUGAUCUCAAUGAGGUCCUUGGGCCAUUGGAUGAAGGUACCACGGGCAUUUCCUAGUGAGAGGACCUCGUCGUUCGAUGGAUACUUCAGAGGGAACAGCUUGUAUCCGGGCUUCACCGAGUCGACUUGAACUUUUGCACAGUCGGCCCUGAGUUGCGCUCCAUGCACUCUUGUCUCUGGGGUCGGCUUGUACGCAAGUCCCUCGGCUGCUAGAACAGUGAAGGUCGGCAUUACCCUAACUGUGAGGGUGCAGCUCGUUGGUUCCUGCGAUAGAUUAAUCAAUUUUUUUAGAAUAUUAUAUAUCAUAUGGAUUCGUUACGUCUUUCAUGUAUUGAGUAAGUUCACGGUUACCGUUAUGUGGUCGACGGCGCUGUCGACCAAUGUUGGAUUUUCCGCCAACUCAGUUGAUGCGCAACUGCUACGUUUUUCGGUGGGACUUCCUAACUCUUUGUGCGCAGCAGCAGCGGCGGCCUGGGGGAUCUGUUGCUCUUCUCGGAUCUCUUGCCUAAUCUUGGCCCUCAUCGACUCGAGCUUUUCGUCGAAUUCAGAUGUCAGCUCAGCUCGUAUCGACUCCCGGAUCUUGGCUUCAAGGCGUGCAUCUUUCUCCGCCUUGUUGGAAGUCCGCUUCUUGUACUGCCACGCGUAGUCUGGAAAUCCAUAAUUCCAGGGAACAGAAGACCCAACGCCCCGUGUCCGUCCACGGUGUUCCUUGUUGCCCAACGCUUUCGUGAGGAGGUCGUCCUCGCGUCUUUGAGAGCAGGCCUCUUGCGAGGCUUGUUGCUCGGCAACCAACUCCUUCUGCAUUACAAUUUAGUGGGGUCAAAUAAACUGCACGAUGGGAAACAAUGCGAACAUCUAGUUUGAUUAGACACUUACUAUAGCUUCGUAUACUCGUUGAUCUUCUGCAUUUGGCAUGAAGAUUGUGCCAUCAUCAUGUUUCUGGUACCUAGCCCUGGCCCAGUUCCUAGCCCGAGGGUGUGGGAUAUCGCCAAACACGAGCGGUGUGCACGAUUCCUCCGCUUCUUCAUCCUCACGCUGCCAUUCCUCUUCCUUACCGGCAUAUCCGGCGGUACCAAGCCGGUGCGGAUGCUGGUUCCUGGUCUGGAGCAAGCGAUAUGCCUCGCUUCUAGCUCUGGACUCGGGGGUCGACUUCUUCGCAUGGAAUUCUGACUAGACCUGUUCCGUGAUCCAAGGAAAUUUUUCUCUUGGAUCUGGAUUUGCCGGGUUGUAGACGAACUCGCCGACUAGCUUAGUCUUGAAGUUCUUCCAAGCAGUGCCCAUAACCUUGAAAGCAGCCCGCCUGAGACGGUCCUCAUGCUCUGCAGGAUAAUCAAAGCUCUCCUUGAACGUUAGCCAAGCAAUGUCCUUCUCUGUGGCCGGCAUGAGCUUGAAGUCGUCUUGCAGAAUACUGAAUUUCUGCCUCCCUAUGACCCCGCAGAUAGACCUAAAUUGGCUCAAUAUUUUCCUUGGAGAUGUCGGCAACCCUACGGCGUCCACCGCUGUUAUGCGGAACCGUUCCUUAGGAAUUUUGUUCCUUGUCCUAGGAGUACGUUCCCUUGAGGACCCACUAGUUGUCGUUGACAUUGGUUCGCCUUGCUAAGACAUUGUCUACUUUUUUCCAAAAAAACAAAAAAAACACAAUUGAGUGCUACAAUCUAUUACAAUGAAUUGAAUGUCACUUAUAAAAAUAAAUGAAACAUAUAAAUAAACUAAAUUGCGCAUAUCACAAUGAUAGAAUGAAUUGAAUGGCACAUAUAAAUAAAUUAAACAUAUCAUCAAAUCCUAAAAUCAUAAAUUCACCUCAUACCAUCUAUUCAUCCACAUAUCAUGCAUCUAUCACUAAAUUGAUUAAUGCACCACAUUCCAUCUAUUCAUCAUCAUGUCAUCAAUCAAAAAAAUCAUUCGUUUACCAUAUAUCAUCAAUCCCUAAAAUCAUCUAUCAGUAAAAUCAUCUAUCACUAAAUUCAUUAAUGAACCACAUUCCAUCUAUUCAUCAUCAUGUCAUCAAUCACUAAAAUCAUUCGUUCACCACAUAUCAUCAAUCCCUAAAAUCAUCUAUCACUAAAAUCAUCUAUCACUAAAUUCAUUAAUGCACCACAUUCCAUCUAUUCAUCAUCAAGUCAUCAAUCACUAAAAUCAUCUAUCACUAAAUUCAUCCCAACAUCCACAUUUCAUCCCAACAUCCACAUUUUCAUUAUCAACCACAUGCAAGUAGCAGAGGGAGGCGCGUUGGAGGACUCACAUGAGGUCGGUCGGGGGGGCUCGGUGGUGGCGGCGGCGGGCUCGGUGGAGGGCGUCGCCGGUCGGUGGAGGCGGCGGCUGGCUCGGUGCAGGCGGCGGGCUCGGCGAAGGAGGAGUUCACGGCGGCGGCGCCGGUCGGUGUAGAUGCCGGUCGGGGAGGUCGGCAUCGGGCCGACGUCGCCGGCCUCGGUGGGGGCUGCUGUUCGUGUCGGUGAAGAGGCAGGCGGCGACGACGAGGAAGGCCGACGCCGGUCGGUGUAGAGACUCGGUGGCGGCGGCGGCGGGCUCGGUGGAGGCGGCGGGCUCGGUGGCGGUGGCGGCGGGCUCGGUGGAGGCGGCGGGCUCGGUGGCGGUGGCGGCGGGCUCAGUGGAGGCGGCGGGCUCGGCGGCGGUGGUGGCGGUCUCGGUGGCGGUGGCGGCGAGGGAGGACGACGGCGGCGAAGGAGGAGUUGGCGGCGGCGCUAGGGUUCUAAGGAGGCGGGAAACUGUAGCGGGACUUAGAAAAAUUUUCGAUUCGAUCUGAGAAACCCUAGUUAUAUUAGAGUGAUGAGUCAUCUCAAUCGGGCUUUGCCGUAGAGCCCGUCACAGAUGACUCAUCGGUGACGGGCUCCAUACUAAUGCCCGAUUGAGAUGACAUUCAGGCCCGUCACGGAUGACUCAUCUGUGACGGGCCCUAAGAUAAUGCCCGAUAGAGAUAGAUUAAUCUCUAUCGGGCUUGAACUAAGGCCUGUCACCGAUGACUAUUUUUCCAUUUCCCAGAUAAGUCUUUAUAUUUGUGAGUACAAAAUAUAUAGCUACUGUAUAAUAAUUCAUUUUAUUAGUCAUAACACAUUUUUGGAUAGUAAAUGAUUUCAAAUCGAAAUAUGGUCAACAACAAAAUUGAUCUUCUCAUCAAGAUCUACAACUUUUAUUUUGGUCAUUUAUCUAUAUAACUUUGUUUCUAACAACUUGAAAUUGAUUUUGACAAUAUGACAAAUGUAAACAACAUUUGUAAAUAUUACAUGACUUUAAAUGGGAAAGCCAUAAACAGCUAACUUGUACAGCUAAUCAAGAUCUACAACUUUUAUUUUGGUCACUUCUUCAUCCGACAAAGUGAUAGUACCAAUGUUUACAAAAUUGACAUAUCUGUGUUGAUAUUUAUAAACCAGAUGAGAGAAAUGUGAUUUUUGUGAAUAAUAUAACUAUCACUUUGUCGGAUGAAGAAGUAACCAAAAUAAAAGUUGUAGAUUUUGAUGAGAGGAUCAACUUUGUUGUUGACCAUAUUUCCAUUUGAAAUCAUUUAGUAUUUACUCAUGUCACCGAAAGGAUUCAUGCCAUCCGUACAAAGACAUAUCCUCACGUUUCUAGGGUCGGCAGCAAAGUCUUUGUGUUUUCGAUCUAUAUUCCUCCAUUCAAUCGAAUCCGCUGGGUGUCUAAGCAUACCAUCAUUCCUUCUUUCCAUGGCGUGCCAACGUACUAACUUCGCUUCGUUCGGGUUGGCAAAGAUUCUCUUGAAACGAUCAAUGAUAGGUAGAUACCACACAACCUUUGCCGGACCACCCCUCUUUGACUUAUUUCCUUUGUGAGCACUUUUCUUUCGCUUGUAUCGAGAAGCAUUGCAGACAGGACAAGCAUCCAAGUCCGCAUAUUGCUUGUGGUACAAUAUGCAUAUGCAGUUGUUGGGACAAGCGUGAAUUCUACGGACCUCUAACCCCAGUGGACACAGAACCUGCUUUGCUCCGUAUGUCAUCUCGGGCAAUGUGUUCUCAACAGGAAGCAUAGCCUUCAAAAUUCCUAAAAGAUCUGUGAAACUCUUGUCUGUCCAUCCACUACUUGCCUUAAGCUUCAUUAGGUCCAAGGUAACUGACAACUUAGUGUGUUUUGCUUUGCAUCCAGCGUACAAAGGCGUCUCGGAAUCACUUACCAACCUGCUGAAUUUCAUUCCAUCUCUCUCAUUCUGGGCUGGGUCCUCAACGUCACGUAACAUGUCUUGCAGCAGAUCGUGAUCCACAUCAACCAUUUCACCGCCCAAUGGAGAAGGUAUAAACAUGUCAUGCUCAUUUUCAUCUUCCUGAUUAUGCGCACCACUUCUGUUUGCUGCUGCUCCACUUCCUGAUUCUUGCUCUCCAUGCUUCACCCAACAUGUAUAGCCCUCCAUGAAUCCUCGUUGUAUCAGAUGACCGUGUACGUCCUCUCCGCUAUCAAACAUAUUCUCGUUCUUGCAAUCUGCACAUGGACAACACAUGUAAUCACUGUUUCUUCUUAUCCGAUCCUCCUCCGCGGCGUUCAUAAAAUUUAUUACGCCCUUUCGGUACUCCGUAGAAUGACGUUUCAAAUUUUUGGCAUACAUCCAACUUCGAUCAAUUGCUACAAAAAAAACAAAUUAGAGGCACAUAUUAUAAGAUCAGUAUUGCAAAAGUAAGACAUGAUGAAAUUGCUCAAUUAAUGAUUUAUAUUACUGACUUGAUUGAUCCAUUUUGAUCACUUUUGGGAAUUUAAUUUCUGUUUUCCUUGGAAAAAGGACAAAAAAUCGCCCCCUACAGCCUCCCACCAAAAUAGUGAACAGUGGGAUAUAGUUACACUAGGUGGUGGGGGUAUUUAUACUGUGCAACAAAUAUUUGUAACGGCCCUAAAACAAUCAACCGUGACGGGCAUACAAGUAAUCUCUAUCGGGCCUUAAUAAAAGGCCGUCAAAAAAUAGUGUCAUCUGUGACGGGCAAUAAACUUAUCUCAAUCGGGCCUCUAGUUGGAGCCCGUCACAGAUGACCCUCAUCUGUGACGGGCUUCUUUUAGGGCCCGAUUGAGAUAUGGAACCCUCAUCUCAAUCGGGCCUCAACUAUAGCCCGUCACAUAUAAGUGUCAUCCGUGACGGGCUUUAGUUUUAUGCCGAUAUACCAUGGCUGUGCGACCAUAUCUCAAUUGGGCAAAACUUCGGCCCGAUUGAGAUUACUUCCUUGUGACGGCCCGCAAAUUCCAGUCUUGUUAUGGGCCGUCACAGAUGGAAGGAUAUGUACUAGUGACCAUUGAUUAGGUGGUUUACAUUGCUAUGAUAUUCGAUCUAUAUGAAUUCGUGUAGAUUAAAAUAUGGCCCGGAAAGUAACAUGGACUCUUUAGUUUUAUUUUUUUUAAAAUUAAUAAUUCUGAAAUCAGACAUCAUAAAAGACAGGGUUUGCUCUCAAUUUAGAAAUUUGUUAAUUUAAUUGCAUUUUUUAAAUUCAUAAUUAGCAAGUUGUAACUUAUGUGAACUCCAAACCAUGUACAACUAAAAUGUAUUAUUUACUAUUUUUAGAAUUAUUAAAUCAUAAAAGUUAUAAUUGAUACUUCAAAAAUGUAUUAUUUCUAAAUUUACAAAUGAUUAAAUCACGAACAAUCUAUAACCGUGGGUCUGGACAGAGUACAAUUUUAUAUAUUAUUUAAGAAAUUAUUAAAUCAUAUUUUUUUUAGAGUUGAAAAUAUAAAUCAUGUACUUUACAAGACUCCAACUUGAAAACGUGUAACAUUCAGCAAAAUCUGAUGACCAACAUAUUCAUAACUUGAUUAUAUUUUUAAUAUUUAUAUUAUUAAUAACUAUAGCCCGUGCAUCGCACGGGUUAGCGUCUAGUACCUAUAAUAAAUAGGUGCAAGUUUUUAAUAUUAAAGGUUUCGUUUUAAAUAAAAACAACACAAAAUACAAUGGAUGUCGGUUUUUAUUUAGAAUCGACACAUAUAAUUACUUCAAGGUGCCAAUUUUUUACGAUUUCAACCCGCGGAGGUGGGAAAAGGCCUAUAGGUGCCAGUUUUAGCACUUAUGACACCUAUUUGAUGUUUUGUAGUAGUGCCAUAUGAGGCGAGGGGAAUGGGGCACAUGUGGAUGACAAAAAAGUACACUAACCCUAAGCAGUGGCAGUUUUCGCAAUGUAUCAGUUAUCCGUUUUUUAUCUUGUCCGUCUCCAUGAAAUUAGCACUAUAAUCAGUUGAUGGGUCAAUAGGUUGGAAAACAUAGCUGUUUAGCUUAUAAUUGCAGGUGCAAAACUUGAAAAUAUAUUCCUAUUAUUGACUGUGUACAUAGGAGACCGGAAAGUACAAGGUUUACUUGGACUGCUAUUUGUAUAGCAAGAUAAUUGUUGUACAUAGUACUCUUAUUUUACUAUAAAAUAUCACUAUGUGUUACCAAAUCAACUGGUGCUUCGGCGCUUCCUUGUAGUUGUUGUAGAUCCAUUCUUGUCAUGAAAUAAAGCUGUAGCAGAAGAUACAUACUUAGUAUAAGGUGAUAUUCGUGAUUCCCACGUUGCUAUUUCAAAAUCACCACCUGAAAUUGCCACCGAUCUAGCUAUUACCUCUUUGAACGAUAUACUUGGUUUCUUAUAGUUUGGAAUAUCAUCCCUUUCUACUCGAGGUGGCUUUACAAGAAUGCAGGCGUGAGUAGGAUAAGAUGUCAUAAAUUCGGUGCUAUCUACUGGCUGCUCUUUCUCAAUGAUAUCUUUCGGAUGCUCACCAUAUUUCAAAAAGUUGUUCUUCACCAUCCUCUCGAAGCGUCGCAAUAUUCUAAGCCAGAAGUGAACAUUAUGGUUCCUUCUAAGCAUGUCAGAUAUCAUAUUGGCUGUUAUCAAUGAUCCACCCAAUACUACUGCAAGAUCAUUUGCAACUGAGACCAUCUUUGGAUGGUCCUUUUGGUCGGUCGCUAGCAUCUUGAAAAGGUAGCUGUACUCCUCCUGUGAUAAACUAUUUAGAUGAACUGCCUUUGCUGUUCCGAACCUUGCAAGAUUUUCAAUCCUACUUAUGAUUACCACUUUGCUUCCUCCAGCUGUCAUCUGACUUACAGUAGAAUAGAAGUUUACCCAAUCAUUUUCAUCUAUGUCCGUAAAAUAUUCACGAACAAUCAAUGUCCUCUCCAUUUUGAACUUUGCAUGUGCUAUUGAUCCGCAGCUGCUAUCUCCAUUGAUGUACAAAAUAGAAGAAAAGUAUGAUCUGAUCCGCUCAUCAUUGCAGACAUGGCUGAUCAAGGAUUUCUUUCCUACCCUGCAACCACCAAUGAUUGGAAGAACAAGACGAGCACCCUGGUUACCUGGAUUUUGCAAUAAAAAAUUGAUAAUUUCCUGCUUCUCGACAUGAUGAGCAAACACACAAUUAUCGGUGUAAAGGUAAGCAUCAUAGGGUCGGCGACACAUGCAUUCACAUCUGGCUAGGAAUACAACAAACUCUUUCACUCUACCUCCAUCUGAAGUAUUUAUGUGUUUUUUGUGCAGCUCUCUAAAAAGCUUGCUUCCCAUCUCAGAACAGCCACCCUUAUAUAUAAUUAGCUGGAAAUGGUUCAGAGCAAAACCAGCAGCCAUUUUAUCCACAGCUGUUUUCAAGGGAUGAGAAAAGUGACUGCAAUUUGCCAAGUUUAAAGUUCUCUAUUCAAUACUAUUGGUCGUUGAUUGCUUUGAAUAUCUGUUCCUUAAUUUUUUACCAUCACACACUUUCUUGUAUGAAAUAUUAAUUAACUGGACUAUUUGAAGAAACUAGUAUUUUUCUUGCUAACGUACAUGGCUAGGUGUGAAAAUUUCUAAAGACUAUGAGGGACCAUUUGGACCAUUUAUGAAAGGAAAGCAACAAGUUGAUUAUGGGAAGCUAGAAUUCG
Molecule: long non-coding RNA, 11180 nt
Filed under: Oryza sativa (Asian cultivated rice)
Lineage: Eukaryota; Viridiplantae; Streptophyta; Magnoliopsida; Poales; Poaceae
Description: long non-coding RNA (OSAT_LNC001793)
Source: RNAcentral